CCGGACUCCUACGGGAGGCAGCAGUGAGGAAUAUUGGUCAAUGGGCGGGAGCCUGAACCAGCCAAGCCGCGUGAGGGAAGAAGGUACAGCGUAUCGUAAACCUCUUUUGCCGGGGGACAAACGGCGGCACGCGUGCCGUCCUGAGGGUACCCGGAGAAAAAGCAUCGGCUAACUCCGUGCCAGCAGCCGCGGUAAUACGGAGGAUGCGAGCGUUAUCCGGAUUUAUUGGGUUUAAAGGGUGCGUAGGCGGGACGCCAAGUCAGGGGUAAAAUGCGGGGGCUCAACCUGCGUCCGCCGUUGAAACUGGCGUUCCUGAGUGGGCGAGAAGUACGCGGAAUGCGUGGUGUAGCGGUGAAAUGCAUAGAUAUCACGCAGAACCCCGAUUGCGAAGGCAGCGUACCGGCGCCCGACUGACGCUGAAGCACGAAAGCGUGGGUAUCGAACAGGAUUAGAUACCCGAGUA
Molecule: ribosomal RNA, 463 nt
Filed under: uncultured bacterium
Lineage: Bacteria
Description: partial 16S ribosomal RNA
Rfam family: Bacterial small subunit ribosomal RNA
Source: RNAcentral